UGAGCAGUGCUGCAAAUGGGAGCAGCUCACUUAUCCCUGGCCUGACUGGGAAGGGAGAGCAGUGAAGGAAUGCAAAGAGUCAGGGACAUGGUCAGGGGCACAGACCAGAGGAAAUCACCUUUGCAGAGGCUUCCCAACACUGUGAGGAAGGCAGACCACAGCCACCAAGAAUAAGACAAAAGACAAUUAAGAGCUCAGUCCCAGGUAUGGCUGAAGCAGGGAGAGUUCUGCUUACAGCACGUGGAAGAGGUUCAGAUGAGCACAUACCACUCUGAGAAGACCCAAGGCUUUCUGCUCGGAGCAGUUCUCCAGGUCAGAAGCAGAGCAGUAAGCACAGGGCCAGCUGGGGCUGCUCUGAGCCCUCAGUGCUCUGAGCCUCUGGAAUUCUCUCCUGAUAAGCAGAGGCUGCACGGUUGUACCCUAUUCCAGCCACUCAAGUGCUGGCAAUUCAAAAUUACUAUCCCAAAAAUGAGACAAGAUGUUGUUAAGUCUCAUAUACAAUUUCUUUUCAAUUCCUACCAUCAAUUAUUCCACUUGUCUGUAAUGGCUUCAGACUCUUUUAUCUUCCUCUCAGUGGAUUUCUCUGCUGCUUUGCAUUUAAAUUCACCUUGUCUUCCUGAAUACACAGACAAACUGUAAGCAAUAAAUGAGCCAGGCAAAAACAAACCUGUUGUUAUUUUCUUGGCUUUCUCUGCUGUCCUGAGCAAAGGAUGUUUCUAUAUCCCUUUGAGAAAGCCAUCCAAUGAUGAAUAACUAUUUGAAAACAAAUGGGAAGGAUUGCACCAGCCACCUACUUCUCAGCCUUAGAAAGAGUAGGAAAAUCCACCCAUCCAUAAAUAUUUUUUAGGAUGAUAGUUAUGAAAAUAAAGUAGGCUGGAACGUUCCCUAUCAGGCCAGGCUGCAGCAUUCAGCUUAUAUCAAUUACUGUCUAUUUGACAUGCUUCAUGCUCCCUUCAUUAACAGGAUGAAAGGUUUUAUGGGAUAAUAACUCAGUUCCAGUGAGCAAAUGUAUUUGUGAGACCAAAGACUGAGUCCUUUGUCCUUGCAGAAGGAGCCUCGAGACUGCAGCAAUUGGCAAUGGUGUAGGAUGGAUAAAUCACAGGAGCACAACUUCUGUCCCACAGAGCACUGUCCCAUCCAUGAAUCACUGAGGACAAAGGAUCCUCACUGCAGGACAGCUGAGAGAGCAGAGAUCAUCUUGGUGAGGAUGCUGCUGCAGGAGGGAAAUAGAAGAGCCACUGGCUUCAGCUGGAUAUUGAAGAUGCUUUAAUUGGAGUUACUGUCAUAUUAAAUGGUCCCUCAUGGUUUCCUCAUCUCAAUCAGGGUUUGAUUGAAGACCUGUGACCUGAAUUUGUGGUCAUUACCUUACCAGAACUUAUUGGUUUUCUUGCUCUUCAGGCAGUAGGCAGAUGGUAAUUGUUUCCUAAAACAUUUCUCAGCUGAACAGCAGUGACAAACACUCUUCUCACCUCAGAAAAUCCCAGAGCACAUUACAAACUGCCUGGGCAAAGAGGACAGAUGUGUUUUCCUUGGAUCUGACAGGAGCCAUGCAAUAGCCACUCUCAUCAGGGAAGGGGUAUGCUUGGCUAAUGGAAAAUAAUCAUACCUGGCUUUCCACCCCAGCUGUCCCACUGUUAAUCUCAUUGUACCUGCACUCAAAUUAUCAGUAGGCAUCCUCUUCUCCUUCUGCCUCAACUAAUUACAUGGAAAAUCUCCUGUCCCAGCACAACCAGAGCAGACUGUAAGAAUGGAGGAGGGUGUGCACUAAGGGAUUGCUAACAAGAGGCAAACACUCUUUAAUGCUCUCCAAGUUCUCCAUUCCUCCUCUGGGGCCAGCUGAGUUAGGACACAGUGCAUGUUCCCUCUUGCAGCCUGACUUUGCUGGGUGCAAAGAGCACAAUUUUCCCCUGGCUGUGGUUUCUGGCUGUGUGGGACAGGACUGCAUGGCAGGUUCUUGCUGCUAGGCUCUACUUCAGUUCACACAACCCGUGCACCAUAAAAAGAACAAAAAAACAUCCACACAGAUCAAAUAUUACCACACAAUGGCAUCAACAUAUCUCAUUGACAGACUAAUCUGUGUUCUGUAUGAAAAUGUGUAUUCAAAACCCCACCAUGUGAGAUAUCACCUGAGAGGAAUCACAGUAAGGACUUAAGAGGGGUCUGUACUCAUGGCAGGUGAAAUCAAAUUAGUAGUACAGAAAUUAUUUGCUUUAAGCUCAGACCAUGGACUGAAUUUAGAGCUCUAAAUCAGUGUUUACCUUGUUGAAUGAUGGGCUCUUGCAGGAGAGCAUUUACUACAAAAACAAAGCUUUUAAUCCAAAUCAGUGAGUGUCAGAGUUUGAAUUAUGGCUGUAAGAGAAAGUCUUUUGUUUCUGUCACCUCUUUAGUCAAUGCUAAUUUGACCAAGGUGUGAAUGAGUUAGUGUUGCUCCCAAAAAUUCUGUGAGUGCAAAGAGGCACCUUCUCCCAGCACACAGAGCCUUUGGAACUCCUUUUAGACAUCCUCAGAUGAAAAACCCGCCUUCAGAUGAUGGAAGACAGGUUAGUAACUUGCAGGAUAUUUAUUCUGAGUAGCAAAGUCAUGGCUACAACAAAACAACUGAAGAAAGGAGAGGUGCACAGUGGACACACACUGAAAGUUUCUACUAAUCCUCUUCCAAGGUGAGACUGAAGGGCAACAACCCUGCCCAGCAGAGCAGAGGAACAGCAUGUCAGGAGACAGGAACAGCCUGUGGAGUUCUGCAGCAGGAGAUUUGGGAGACACAAGGUCACUCUGUACAGGGAGGUGUGAAUUGCAGAGCCACCUCAGGUGGGGUGAAUAUUAGCUCACUGCAGCACUUGCUCCAUAAAGCAUUAUUUACUAAAAUACAUCUUUUUUUUUUUUUCCAUUUUUCUGGUCUGCAGUUAUUUUGUGCAGACCCCACGGUCUCACUGGAAGCUUCUACUUGCAAAGUCUCCUUUAACAUCCCUCAGAAUUGGGAGAGAUGCUAAACUGGCAUGGCAAAAAAAUAACAAUCAUUUGGGAGCAAUUGAUAUCCUGCUGUUACAGACUUGCAAACACUCAUUUCCAUACCACCUACAGUUAUGUGUGCAUCUCUUUGUUCUGAUAUUGAGAAAAAAACCCAUUUGUAUUCUUUCAAUACAAGCAAUCCUUGGCUUGAAUUUUUAGUUGGUCAAAUAACGCUAAAGAAGGAAAUAUUGGAAUUUCUGCCUGUGCCAUGGGACUAUUCAGGCAGGCAAACUCUAUUACAGCCAUGGUCUUAUCAAAGGAAAGGUAAAUCUCCUCAUUAAAUCUUGGUUGUUGUUAUUUUCAAGAAGAGAGCCUCUCUACUUCAGGGAAAAUGAUGGGGAAUGUGACAGGCAGUGGUGGCAGCCUGCAGAGGAGCUGUGUGUGGAGC
This is a long non-coding RNA of Passer domesticus (house sparrow), 3397 nucleotides long. RefSeq lists it as uncharacterized. The transcript has 3 exons. NCBI's taxonomy places the organism in Eukaryota, Metazoa, Chordata, Aves, Passeriformes, Passeridae. The record is from RefSeq and is a predicted model, not a curated record.